Paramuricea clavata is the source of this 203-nucleotide non-coding RNA. The record is from the annotation of a GenBank genome assembly. NCBI's taxonomy places the organism in Eukaryota, Metazoa, Cnidaria, Anthozoa, Malacalcyonacea, Plexauridae.
AAGCACGCGCGGGAGAACGCGGGAGCAGGGCGCUAUCAAACACUAGCGUUUUAGUGUUUUAUAGCGCCCUGGCGGGAGCAAGGUCAGUCUCUUCCACAGUCGCUUUCAAAAGGGGGGAGAGGAAAACAAGAAAAAAUUUCUUUGUUGGGCGCGCGAAGAAUAACGAGAAGGCGAAGAUUUCGGCAACUUAUCACAGUCACUGA